This is a small nuclear RNA of Nyctereutes procyonoides (raccoon dog), 104 nucleotides long. NCBI's taxonomy places the organism in Eukaryota, Metazoa, Chordata, Mammalia, Carnivora, Canidae. The record is from RefSeq and is a predicted model, not a curated record.
GUGCUUGCUUUGGCAGCACAUAUACUAAAGUUGGAAUGAUACGGAGAUUAGCAUGGCCCCUGUGCAACGGUGACAUGCAAAUUCAUGAAGCGCUCCGUAUUUAU